CGGGGUGAGUAAUGUCUGGGAAACUGCCUGAUGGAGGGGGAUAACUACUGGAAACGGUAGCUAAUACCGCAUAACGUCGCAAGACCAAAGAGGGGGACCUUCGGGCCUCUUGCCAUCGGAUGUGCCCAGAUGGGAUUAGCUAGUAGGUGGGGUAAUGGCUCACCUAGGCGACGAUCCCUAGCUGGCCUGAGAGGAUGACCAGCCACACUGGAACUGAGACACGGUCCAG
RNAcentral lists this ribosomal RNA (229 nucleotides) under uncultured bacterium. Its description in RNAcentral is "partial 16S ribosomal RNA". It matches the Rfam family "Bacterial small subunit ribosomal RNA", at positions 104 to 334 of the family's 1533-position model. The record is from RNAcentral.